AUAGGGGAAGCUGAAAACCUGAUAGAGUAAGCA
This 33-nucleotide non-coding RNA is filed under the name unclassified sequences. RNAcentral's name for it is "DUF805b RNA". It matches the Rfam family "DUF805b RNA". Rfam says of the family: Bacteroidetes, Chlorobi (1 example), Proteobacteria. The record is from RNAcentral.